CCUACGGGAGGCAGCAGUAGGGAAUAUUGCACAAUGGGCGAAAGCCUGAUGCAGCAACGCCGCGUGUGCGAUGAAGGCCUUCGGGUUGUAAAGCACUUUUCUGAGGGAAGAGGAAGGACUGUACCUCAGGAAUAAGUCUCGGCUAACUACGUGCCAGCAGCCGCGGUAAU
Molecule: ribosomal RNA, 170 nt
Filed under: uncultured bacterium
Lineage: Bacteria
Description: partial 16S rRNA
Rfam family: Bacterial small subunit ribosomal RNA
Source: RNAcentral